This 600-nucleotide ribosomal RNA is filed under the name uncultured bacterium. RNAcentral's name for it is "bacterial SSU rRNA". It matches the Rfam family "Bacterial small subunit ribosomal RNA", at positions 9 to 642 of the family's 1533-position model. The record is from RNAcentral.
GAGUUUGAUCCUGGCUCAGAAUCAACGCUGGCGGCAUGCCUAACACAUGCAAGUCGAACGAGAAAGUCCUUCGGGAUGAGUACAGUGGCGUACGGGUGAGUAACGCGUGGGUUAUCUACCUCUGGGUGGGGAAUAACUCGGGGAAACUCGAGCUAAUACCGCAUAAUACGUUUACGUUAAAGCAGCAAUGCGCCUGGAGAUGAGCCUGCGUCCGAUUAGCUAGUUGGCGGGGUAAUGGCCCACCAAGGCGACGAUCGGUAGCCGGCCUGAGAGGGCGGUCGGCCACACUGGCACUGAAAUACGGGCCAGACUCCUACGGGAGGCAGCAGUGAGGAAUUUUGGGCAAUGGGCGAAAGCCUGGCCCAGCAAUGCCGCGUGAACGAUGAAGUCCUUCGGGAUGUAAAGUUCGUAAGCAGGAGAAGGACACCCUGAUGGUAUCCUGUGUAAGCCCCGGCUAGCUACGUGCCAGCAGCCGCGGUAAUACGUAGGGGGCAAGCGUUGUUCGGAUUUACUGGGCGUAAAGGGCGCGUAGGCGGCGCGUAAAGUCGGACAUGAAAUCAUUGGGCUUAACCCAAUGGCUGUGCCCGAUACUUGCGUGCU